AGAACGAACGCUGGCGGCAGGCUUAACACAUGCAAGUCGAACGGUUGUAGCGAUACAGCAGUGGCAGACGGGUGAGUAACACGUGGGAACCUUCCUAGGGGUACGGAACAACUCAGGGAAACUUGAGCUAAUACCGUAUACGUCCGUGAGGAGAAAGUUUUAACGCCCCUAGACGGGCCCGCGUAGGAUUAGGUAGUUGGUGAGGUAACGGCUCACCAAGCCUACGAUCCUUAGCUGAUCUGAGAGGAUGAUCAGCCACACUGGGACUGAGACACGGCCCAGACUCCUACGGGAGGCAGCAGUGGGGAAUCUUGGACAAUGGGCGCAAGCCUGAUCCAGCCAUGCCGCGUGAGUGAAGAAGGCCUUCGGGUGUAAAGCUCUUUUACCAGGACGAUAAUGACGGUACCUGGAGAAUAAGCCCCGGCAAACGUUCGUGCCAGCAGCCGC
This 447-nucleotide ribosomal RNA is filed under the name uncultured soil bacterium. RNAcentral's name for it is "bacterial SSU rRNA". It matches the Rfam family "Bacterial small subunit ribosomal RNA", at positions 26 to 518 of the family's 1533-position model. The record is from RNAcentral.